Molecule: unclassified non-coding RNA, 146 nt
Organism: Callithrix jacchus (white-tufted-ear marmoset)
Lineage: Eukaryota; Metazoa; Chordata; Mammalia; Primates; Cebidae
Rfam family: Metazoan signal recognition particle RNA
About the family: The signal recognition particle (SRP) is a universally conserved ribonucleoprotein. It is involved in the co-translational targeting of proteins to membranes.
Source: Ensembl
GCUGGGUGUGGUGGCACACCUGUGAUCCCAGCUACUUGGGAGGCUGAGAUGGAAGGAUUGCUUGAGCCCAGGACGUCAAGGCUGCAGUGAGCCAUGAUCAUGUCACUGCACUCCAGCCUGGGAGACAGAGCAAGACCCUAUCUCAA